AGUUACAAAUUUUGAAAUUCUUUCCCUCUUAUUUUAAAUUGUGGGAAGUUACUUAAGCCCAAUUAAAUCUGAAAUUAAAAUUCAGAUUUAAUUGAAUUUCUUACUUAAACUUGGGCCCCACUCUCAUAACUCCUAAAUCUCUCCCUCUCCUCCUUAUUGGGCCGGCCACUCUUAGUGGGCCUCUUUCUCCUCCCAAAUGACAUAUGAACACCACAAAUUCAGCUCAAAGCUUCUCCCCAUUGCCGCCCCUCUCUCCCUCCUUGGAUUAAUUUGAAAUUCCAAUUAAAUCCCUCUCCUAAACCACUAAAAUCUGAACUUGAUUUCAGAUUUCCUGCAUUUGCCUCUUAGCCCCCACCAUAGCCGUCAAGGAAGAAAGGAUAAGACAUUAGAUGCUCACUGGUCAUCCCAUGGACUACUCGCCAACGGCUAUCGCUCCAACGGACUACGCUUUUGUGCGCCAUUUGUCUCCUAGUGGCAUCGCUCGGUUGAUCUCAAUCUUCCUCCAUUAAAGUGCCACCAACAGGAGAGUGAGUGAGAGACCCAAGGUGAAAAGUUCUAUUUGUUAAUUGUGGAUUAUUGUUUCUCCCCAUAGCAUUACUCUUUAAUUCUAUGUUGUCAAUUUGAUAUAUUCCUGUUAAUCUAGUUAUAACCGCAUGCCUUACUUAAUUUUGAAUUGAUAAUUCUGAAAACCUAACUUGGGUAAGCAUUAGUUCUAUAACUAGCAAAGCUUCAAAAUCUUAUAUUAAAAUCCCCAAGCAGUUCUUGUUUCCAUGCAUUACGUUUCACAUCAUCUUGGUAUCAGAGCAGGACGGGCGGGGCUCACGCCUGACGUCGCAUUAUACACGGAGAGGCGGACGGCGAGGACGGCGAGGAUGGCGAGGCCGGGUUGACGAACGAACUGAGCGUCGGCGGUGUAGAGCUAGCCUAGGGUUUGGAUUUUAGACUGAGCAUCGAUGGCGGGGCCAUGGGAGAGGCGGAUCGCUAGGAUGGGUUGACUCGCCAUUGCGGGAAGCCGAGAAGCAGGAUUUUCUAUUUUGUUUACAGCGGAGGUUAGGGUCUGGUCGGUUUCAGGUCAUUAUCGGGUUUUCGGGUCAACUUGUAUCCGAUACGAUUUUUGAAAUGGGUCAAUUUGCUGAAACCUAACCCGACCUAUUUGACAAACGAGUUGAUCUUAACCCCGAAUUUUAGGGACAGGUUCGGGUCGUGUCAAAUAUUGCCACCCCUAAUAAAUUCUUCUAUUGCAUUAUAAUUCUUAAAUAAAAAAUUACAAACUUUGCAUUCUAUUUUGUAUUUUCUGAUAAUGUUGCAUUACAAUGUUAUAUAUAACCAAAUCAAAUUCUUAUUUCUUAAUAUAUGACACUAGACAAUCAUUGAUUCAGUCAUCAUCCAUUUUAUUGUCUAAUUGAUGUUUGACAAUUUUCAUUCCAAAAAAAUGCUUGCUUCACUUUAGCAGUGACAACUGAUAAAAUUAACAUCAAGACAAUAAGCUUGUAUACUAAGGAAUACACAACAUUUUUCUUAACCUUAAUAAGUUAUUUUACAAGAUCAACAAUGCUACCCAAAGAUGAGAACUCUUCGUUUGUAUGCAUGUUAAGUAUAUAUGUGGAUAGUUGGUGCUUUAGAGCCAUAAGUUCAACCAUAGAAAAAUCUGUUGAAUCUAGCUCUGUAAGCCGAAUUAAUUUCCCCUUAUUGUAAACAAAAAAAUGAGUUAUUUGGAGUUAGUCAUGAAACACGAAGAAACAAUUCAGUAAUAGUUCAGAGAAUCUAUUAUUUAGCACUUAAAAUUACAUAUCAAUAACAAUGUAAAAAAAUUCUCACGAUAAUGAUGCAAAUUUGUAAUUUUCUUAUUUCCGCGUAUUGAUUGUUGGCGAGCCUUGAAUGUAGAAUACAUAUUAGGGACAUCAAAUUUAAAAACAUUGCAAAAAUGUGAUACUUUAUCCAGUAAAUGAUCCCAUCAAUUCUCCCUCAUUAUAUGUAAUUAUUGUUUAGAGACUUGCACUAAUUCAUUGCAUUCAUAAUAUCUUUAUAUCAAUGUAUAUACGUUCUUUCCUCUUUAAAUAACGUUUCAUUUAUUUUAUCCUAGAAAGAAAUUUAAGACCAAGGAAUAUCAUCCGUCAAUAAAAAAAUCACAUCAAAAUCAAUUCAUUAUUAUAUUAACAAAUAUAUGUUAUCUGCCAAUUAAAAAAAAAAUAGAUUUGAAGGGAGAAAAGAGUUUCUGUUUUAAUCAAUUCUAAUCACUUAGUUCAAAACACACUAGUGUCGACUUCAAUUAUGUUCUAAUUAAUUUUAAUCAAUGAUUAGUACUUAUAAAUGAUGCAAUGAAAUUAGUGCAAGUCUUCAAACAUAAUUAUAUAUGAUGAGGGUGUAUGGAUGAGAUUCUUUACUGGAUAAAGUAUCAUAUUUUUAUAGUAUUUCUUAAGAUGAUGUUCCUAAUAUGAGUUAUACAUUCAAGACUCACCGACAAUCAGCACACAUAAAUGAGAAGUAUAAAUUUGCAUCAUUAUCGUGUGAAUUUCUUUUACACUUUUAUUGAUAUGCACCUUCAAGAGCUGAGUAAUAGAUUCUUUGAAGCUACUAUUGAGCUAUUUCUUUGUGUUUUGUGUCUAACUUUUUGCAAUUUAUUUUCUGCUUGUGAUAAGGGGAAAUUAAUUCGGCUUAUAGAUCAAUAUUCAGUAAAUUUUUCUGUAGUUGAACUUGUGGCUCUAGAGUAUCAGCUAUUUACAUAUAUUCUUCAUAUCCGUACAAGCAAGGAGUUCUCAUCUUUGGGUAGCAUUGCUGAUAUUGUAAAAUAAUUUAUUAAGGUUAAGAAAGAUGUUGUGUAUCACUUAGUUUACACGCUUAUUAUCUUGGCAUUAACUUUGCAGUUGACACUUUUACAGUGGAGUGAGCUUUUUUUGAAAUGAAAAUUGUUAAAUAUAUAUUACAUAGUAAAAUGGUGAUGACUUGCUCAUUGAUUUUCUAGUGCCAUAUAUUGAGAAAGAAGUAUUUGAUUCGAUUUCAAAUGUAGUAAUGCAACAUUAUAAAAAAAUACAAAAUAGAAUGCAAAGUUCAUAGUUUUUUAUUUAAUAAUUAUAAUGAAAUAUAUUUUUUUUAAUUUUGUCUUAUAUAUUUUUUAUUUUUGUUUUAAGUUUGCCCCCCUAAGAUAUAAGUCUGGUUUCGCCCCUAUAUGGAUGAUUUCUUUGAUUGGGAAACUUUGUUUGAUGGGCUUCAAAAUAGAUAUGCUAAAUUUAAAUUAAUUAUGCAACCUAAAAUACGAUUGAUAACGAUAUAAAAACAAAGAGAAAGACUUGGUAAAGAACCUUUAUUAUUUGGGUAGAAGUGAAAGAAAAUAUAUGAAUAAAUUUGAAGAGUUAUUAAUGCGUUAUGAAAUAUUAAGAACUUCUAAAACAAGGAUUUCUUGGUUGUCAUUAGAUUGAGGUUUGAUAUUAAAAUGAAAAUGACAAAAAUAUAUCAUACCCAUUGAAUAUGUUUUUUUAAGUGCCUUACAUUUUGAACAAAUUUU
Long non-coding RNA from Dendrobium catenatum, 3502 nucleotides. RefSeq lists it as uncharacterized. The transcript is spliced from 2 exons. Lineage: Eukaryota; Viridiplantae; Streptophyta; Magnoliopsida; Asparagales; Orchidaceae. The record is from RefSeq and is a predicted model, not a curated record.